Hyaena hyaena (striped hyena) is the source of this 537-nucleotide long non-coding RNA. RefSeq lists it as uncharacterized. NCBI's taxonomy places the organism in Eukaryota, Metazoa, Chordata, Mammalia, Carnivora, Hyaenidae. The record is from RefSeq and is a predicted model, not a curated record. The transcript has 3 exons.
AUGCCUCUCUCAGCCUCUGUCCCAAGAAGGUCUCUACUUCCCUUGGAGGAUGGCAGUCCCUCAAGGGAGUGAGGAAGGCCCAAUCUGGCCCUGUGGCUUGUUGGACAUCCCAUCAUCAUUCCAUUGCCUCUGAACCCGGUUGUCAUUUACUCAUUCAACGAACAUUUGUGAAGCACCUAGUCUGCUUGUACUUCCUAAUCACUGGAUAUGGGCAGCGGAAUCCAGCCCCCACCUCCAGCUCCCUCCAGAAGAAAGACUCCAUCUACCAUGCAACGAGACGUGGCCAGGGGAGUGAGUUUUGGCCAAAGAGAUGAAAGUGAGGGCAUCCCAUGCUAGCUUCCUGAAGCCUCCCUUAGGACACAGUGAUUAUGCAGCCUUUCCUCUUGUCAUUCUUCCUUCCUACUGGAUGAAAUACAGACAGACUGGCUAGAGAACCAGGAACAUUUUGGAUUAUGAGAUAACCUUGGGAAUGGCAGUCCCACAAAACAAAGCAACAAAAAUGAAAUAAAACGAGCUUGCACCCCUGUCACCAAGGUG